RNAcentral lists this ribosomal RNA (175 nucleotides) under uncultured bacterium. RNAcentral's name for it is "partial 16S ribosomal RNA". It matches the Rfam family "Bacterial small subunit ribosomal RNA", at positions 338 to 525 of the family's 1533-position model. The record is from RNAcentral.
UCUACGGGAGGCAGCAGUGGGGAAUAUUGCACAAUGGGCGAAAGCCUGAUGCAGCGACGCCGCGUGAGGGAUGACGGCCUUCGGGUUGUAAACCUCUUUCAGCAGGGACGAAGCGCAAGUGACGGUACCUGCAGAAGAAGCACCGGCUAACUACGUGCCAGCAGCCGCGGUAAUA